GGUUAAGCGACUAAGCGUACACGGUGGAUGCCCUGGCAGUCAGAGGCGAUGAAGGACGUGCUAAUCUGCGAUAAGCGUCGGUAAGGUGAUAUGAACCGUUAUAACCGGCGAUUUCCGAAUGGGGAAACCCAGUGUGAUUCGUCACACUAUCAUUAACUGAAUCCAUAGGUUAAUGAGGCGAACCGGGGGAACUGAAACAUCUAAGUACCCCGAGGAAAAGAAAUCAACCGAGAUUCCCCCAGUAGCGGCGAGCGAACGGGGAGGAGCCCAGAGCCUGAAUCAGUGUGUGUGUUAGUGGAAGCGUCUGGAAAGGCGCGCGAUACAGGGUGACAGCCCCGUACACAAAAAUGCACAUGCUGUGAGCUCGAUGAGUAGGGCGGGACACGUGGUAUCCUGUCUGAAUAUGGGGGGACCAUCCUCCAAGGCUAAAUACUCCUGACUGACCGAUAGUGAACCAGUACCGUGAGGGAAAGGCGAAAAGAACCCCGGCGAGGGGAGUGAAAAAGAACCUGAAACCGUGUACGUACAAGCAGUGGGAGCCUCUUUAUGGGGUGACUGCGUACCUUUUGUAUAAUGGGUCAGCGACUUAUAUUCUGUAGCAAGGUUAACCGAAUAGGGGAGCCGAAGGGAAACCGAGUCUUAACUGGGCGUUAAGUUGCAGGGUAUAGACCCGAAACCCGGUGAUCUAGCCAUGGGCAGGUUGAAGGUUGGGUAACACUAACUGGAGGACCGAACCGACUAAUGUUGAAAAAUUAGCGGAUGACUUGUGGCUGGGGGUGAAAGGCCAAUCAAACCGGGAGAUAGCUGGUUCUCCCCGAAAGCUAUUUAGGUAGCGCCUCGUGAAUUCAUCUCCGGGGGUAGAGCACUGUUUCGGCAAGGGGG
This 882-nucleotide ribosomal RNA is filed under the name Escherichia coli. Its description in RNAcentral is "partial 23S ribosomal RNA". It matches the Rfam family "Bacterial large subunit ribosomal RNA", at positions 1 to 926 of the family's 2925-position model. Lineage: Bacteria; Pseudomonadati; Pseudomonadota; Gammaproteobacteria; Enterobacterales; Enterobacteriaceae. The record is from RNAcentral.